UGGCGCCUUCGGGGCGCUCAGAAGUGGGUCCUGAAGGGUGAUGCGAAUACUGCAUACUUCCAGGCUAUCGCCAACGGCCGCCAUAGACGCAACACCAUCCCCCUCCUCUGGGAUGGGGAGACCCUUCUUCAGGACCCUCGCGACAUCCGGACUCAUGUCGACGGCUUCUAUAGGUCCCUUUUCUCUGCCGCUCCUCGGAGCGGCAUCUCCCUCGCCCAUGAUUGUUGGGCCGGCAUUCAGUUAGUCUCCGACGCGGAGAACGCGGCCCUGACGGCCCCCUUCUCUGAGCAGGAGGUCUGGGAGGCUAUCAAGGGUAUGAAUGCCUCUUCUGCGCCGGGCCCAGAUGGCCUCCCGGUCAUUUUCUUCCAGACCUUCUGGAACGUGAUUAAACCGGGGGUC
This 399-nucleotide ribosomal RNA is filed under the name Triticum aestivum (bread wheat). Its description in RNAcentral is "partial small subunit ribosomal RNA". The record is from RNAcentral. Lineage: Eukaryota; Viridiplantae; Streptophyta; Magnoliopsida; Poales; Poaceae.